Molecule: non-coding RNA, 325 nt
Organism: Pelobates cultripes (western spadefoot toad)
Lineage: Eukaryota; Metazoa; Chordata; Amphibia; Anura; Pelobatidae
Source: the annotation of a GenBank genome assembly
UGGCAUCUUAAAGUCUGAAUAGGUUAUCUGUUGUUUAUACUAAGUCGUAAGUGUACAGUUGUGGGAGAUUCCCGGAUCUGGGGAAGUUCCAUUAACUUGGGGUUACCACAGUAUAUUGUGUACUGCAAGAGUCGUAGUAUAGCCUUGAAGCUUGUUUAUGCGUUAUUGUUAUUGUAAUUCGUCUGGGACAAAAUGGUGCAAACAUAUUAUGCACUGAGGUUAUUGCUUAAAGAAACAGUUAUGAAAAACAAUAUGUUCCAUUUCCAACACCUUGUCAGUUUGCAAUAUCUCUUAAAGACAAAGUACACAGUUUAAGAAAUACAAC